UGCUGAGCGGCGCUGCGGGGACACCGAACCGAGCGGGCAGCUGGACGCAGACGGGUGCACGCGGCAGGAACCACAAACCCUAGACUCUAUAGAAGGAAACCUUCAUCAGAUUUCUUGAUGAACAAAGUCUAUUGAACCAGGCAAGCUUCCUGCUGAAGAGACAGGACAGUCAUAAUGCUGAGAGAUGGAGAAUUUGAUCGUGUUUUUUUAAGCUGAAGGGAAGGUGCCCAGGAGAGGAAGAGAUUAAUGGUUCAGGAGAAAAAUGGGAUGCCUGAUGGCACAGGAAGUGAUUGGAUCAAACCCACAGUUGGUUUUUUUGUGUGUUUUUUCUUUUUUUGUGUGGACGUGUUUGUUGUUGCAAUGGCUUAAAGCAGAGAUAACAAGUCUAUUACAAAAGAAAGUGCAUGACUAUCAUGGUUUGCAGA
Long non-coding RNA from Globicephala melas (long-finned pilot whale), 425 nucleotides. RefSeq lists it as uncharacterized. NCBI's taxonomy places the organism in Eukaryota, Metazoa, Chordata, Mammalia, Artiodactyla, Delphinidae. The record is from RefSeq and is a predicted model, not a curated record.